Molecule: ribosomal RNA, 99 nt
Filed under: Cellulomonas fimi
Lineage: Bacteria; Bacillati; Actinomycetota; Actinomycetes; Micrococcales; Cellulomonadaceae
Source: RNAcentral
GGGGAAACGCCCGGUCCCAUUCCGAACCCGGAAGCUAAGCCCUUCAGCGCCGAUGGUACUGCACGGGAGACUGUGUGGGAGAGUAGGUCGCCGCCGGAC